Molecule: long non-coding RNA, 28257 nt
Filed under: Vitis vinifera (wine grape)
Lineage: Eukaryota; Viridiplantae; Streptophyta; Magnoliopsida; Vitales; Vitaceae
Description: long non-coding RNA (VVIN_LNC001392)
Source: RNAcentral
CACCACUCGUAAUAACCAAAUUCACUCAGUUGGGAUAGGUGGGAGAUGGUGGUUUGUGGGGUGGCUUGUGGGGAGGAGUUGGAGGAGGCUUUAUUUUCUGAGGCGGCUUGUAUGAGUGUGCAGGAGGAUGCCCGGGAGUGUGACCAUAAUGUGGUGGCUUCUCUCCCGUAGGUGGUUUGCCAAAUGGGCUUGGUGGCUUCUCUCCCUUAGGAGGUUUACCAAUUGGGGUUGGUGGCUUGUGUUCUGGGAGUGGUUUCUCUCCCUUGGUAGGUUUGCCAAUUGGGGUUGGCGGCUUAUGUUCUGGGAGUGGCUUCUCUCCCUUGGGAGGUUUGCUAAUUGGGGUUGGCGGCUUAUGUUCUGGGGGCGGCUUCUCUCCCUUGGGAGGUUUGCCAAUUGGAGUUGGCGGCUUAUGUUCUGGGAGUGGCUUUUCUCCCUUGGGAGGCUUGCCAAUUGGGGUUGGCGGCUUAUGUUCUGGGGGUGGCUUCUCUCCUUUAGGAGGUUUGCCAAUUGGAGUCGGCGGCUUAUGUUCUGGAAGUGGCUUUUUUCCCUUGGGAGGUUUGCCAAUUGGGGUUGGCGGCUUAUGUUCUGGGGGUGGCUUCUCUCCCUUGGGAGGUUUGCCAAUUGGAGUCGGCGGCUUAUGUUCUGGGAGUGGCUUCUCUCCCUUGGGAGGUUUUGUUGGUGGCUUGUGUUCUGGAGAUGGCUUCUCCCCUGGAGGCUUGUGCUCCGGAGGUGGCUUCUGAAAUGGCGGGGGCUUGGGGUAAUGAGCAAGAGAUGGAGUACUGGUGAGAACCACCAUUCCAAGCAACAAUACUAGCAAGCAUGUGGGAGACAUCUUUGAGUAGUUGUAGCUAAGAUGGCGCAACACUGUAGGCAUUGGGUGGCCUUUUAUAAAGGGCUGGACCCAACAGCCAUAUGACACGUGUCAUGAUGACAAAUGAAGUUGAGGGGAUCCAGAUGGGUCCUACUGAGUCGAAAACUUGCACUAAUUGAUCUGGUGAGAUGACUAUUUCUGUCCUUUUGCCCUUCUCGGCCACCCUGUGCUGUUUUCCUUUUGCACGAUUUUCGUUGCCAAACAAGCAAAUAAUAUUUCGCCAAGAAAGAGGAGAGUGAAUGUGGAAUGCAUCAAGUCCCAUCAAGGAUGGCAGAGAAGAAAUAGAAGAUUGCCCAACUGUGAUAAACAUAGCAUACACGUAGCACCAGGAACUUCAUUUACUUCCAUCUAAUGGAACAUAACAAUCUUCUAAAGUUUUUGCAUGAUUUUGUUAUAUGUCUCUUAGCCUAAAGUUGGAAAUGCGCAACAAAUUUUGUCACUUCUCUAUUUCCCACUGAUGAUGUUAAUUAGCCUUCAUAGAUAUCAUCCUUUCUACAAAGUGCUUCAUUUGUGUGUUAUUGUAAAGUGUAAGAAAAGUAAUUGAACAUGUUCUUUUUCCUUUCAUAGAUGACUUUUGAUGUGCAUUUUAAAAGCAGCGCUGUGAGUCGGUGACCUUGAUUCACACGGAAACUAAGGCUCCUAUAGGACCCACUUUUAGCUGGUUAGGGGUGAAGAAAAUAUCAACUUUUCAGAGUGAUUUAAGUCAAGGCCAAGCCUCACUGUGUCAUUACUCGUGUGAAUUUUAUAUGCACAUACAUACAUAAAUAAAGUAUGAGACCCAAAUAACACCUUCCCUUUACAAACUUAACCCCAGCCGCUCUCUUUCAAUUCUUUUCACACAAGGGUAUUGACUCUAUAAAGGUCAAGAAAAUCAUAAUUUCCUAGGGUUUACAAGGUAAUUGGCUUAAUGCUAAUGUGAAAACAUAAAAGAUAAUAGUAUAUUGUAAGCUAACGAAUAUUCUAUAGUUAUAAUUAUUUGUGAUGUGCAUAAAUAAAUCUUCAUAUAUAUAAUGGAACAAUGAAUAAAGAACCAAUGAAAAAAUACUAUAUAUCAUUGCUUGGCAUUUAAACCGUAUAUGCUGCUCUUUCUAGCUACUCCAUCCACUGAAAGACAACAAGGUAAUCCAUGUUAUAAUGAUAGAAGAUACUGUCUCUAGGCUUUUUGUGAUGAAAAAUAUAAGAUAUGGGUAGGGUUGACCCUUGUAUGUUUGUCCUAUAAACACUUCAAAGUAACAUAUUUUUCUUCUUUAGCAACUCAUAAUGAUGGGGUUCAUUUGCAUGUCACUGAGUUGAAAAGUUGGACAAUUGCCCAUGUCGCCUUCCUCCUAGAUUCCGUAGUUCACGGGAAGGUAACUCAAGUUUGACAUAUUUUGAAUUCUUUUCACUCGGACGUCUUCAUAACCUGACAAAACAAAAAUGAAAAACAGAGGAUUGGUAUAUUAUUCAUGGUAAGCCUCAAAUUAUAGUAGUAUGAGAAAGGAGAAAAAGAUUUUGGGAACUCCAAUCUGGAUAAUUCUCGUUUCUUCUCUUGAAUAAAAAUUUCACUUACCUAACUUCGUUUGGAGAAAUGGCAUAUUUUAAUUUUGUACGUCAUUGCUAAUAAAUGGAGCAAUUUAGCAUGUUUUGUGACUGAAACUGCAAAUGUCCAAUUGGCAUUUCUUCAUUUCCCACUUAGGAUCUGAUCUUGUAGACCAUAUAACGAUAUGUAUCUGUGCAAGCAUUGAAAACUAAUGUGAACUAUGAGGAGUUACAAGCCACUGGACUGUAGAGCGAGUGCCAAGAUUUAAAUCUUCAGGCUCUAUCUGGGUAAGGGGAGGAUAGCGACCUAACCUUUUACCAAAGGCUUAGAAUUUAGACUUUUGGAAAAAAAUUUCUCAUGUUUUGGCUGGAUUUCUUGUGCUUGGCGCAAAAAGGAGAUGGCCUCAAGAAAUAGCAGACUCACUUUUGUUUUCAGCCCUUAAUAAUUCUCCACUGCUUUCCAUAACUACAUGGGUUAUACAUGCAGUCUGCUGCAAUAUUCCAGUUAUAUUUAUUAUUUCAAAGAGGGUGAAUGACUUCACAUGCAAUAUGUUGCAGUAACAACCCAAAUUUUGGCACACCAUCUUAAGAAUAGAAAAGUAUAAUAAAAGAAAUCAAUCAGAGAAUCACUUUGCAUGCAGUUCAUAGAGUUCGCCCAAAAUGGAGCCACAUGUACGGACAACCCCACAAUAGACAAUCUUCUCUAUACAGUAAUAAAAUACAGAAAUGGUUAAUGAAGCUCUGUAUUUCCUUAUCAUAUAUGACCGGUUGAAAACUCAGCAAGUCUUCCUCAAUCACAGACAGUUGGAGUUGCUUCAUCAAAAUCAUGCCUUCAUUACUGGCUUCAUUUUGGUUUCAAUGUCUGUUCUACCCUUAAAUUGGGUCUCUGCUUACUACCGGGAUAUCCUUUAGCGUCCUGCAAUUCUACUAGAUUAAAGAGAAUGACUUAAUUCUGCAUUCUGCCGUCCCUAGUCCAAGUGGUACUAGAAUUGAUGUUUCCUUUAGUGUCCUUUCUUCAUACUUUCAGGUUCUUCCCUUGUUUCAAUAAUGCUGUUUUCCUUCAUGUUUAACCUCUGUUGAACCACUUAAAACAACACAAUUUGCACACCAAUGUUUCUUUACAGAAAAGACUGUUUGCAAAAAUGCACAUGUUAUAAGGUUAAUGGAAGAAUUAAUUUGGGGAUAAGGGACUAGGAUUGGGCCAAUGAAGUUUGGUGUUAAAUUUUGAUUAUGAUUGCUUUUCAUUAUCAGGUACCUUAUAUUUGCUGAUGCUAUCUGGAACUAAAUUCAAAUCAGACAUUAUCCGAUUACUAACAGGACAUAUCAUGUCCCUCUGCAGAGUUUCUAAACUAACAUGUAUCGAAAUGUGGCCCCAAAAGGAAGGCUAGGAAGAUGGAGGAUUUUGUAGGAAUCGACCAGAAUCAGAUGGAAGAGAGAUAGUCCUGUUGACUUUAAUGGUUGUGAUAGGAACAUGCAUCAUUAUAUGAGAAGUUGCAUGAAUUUAUGUAUCCUGUUAUCGUUCCUUGACGAUUUCCCAAUGCAAUUUCACUGUCCACAAGACUAACCUCUCCAUGCAGUCAAAUGAAUUGUAAUUUCUCUAUUGGUACCAGUAGUACAUUUCAUACCAAACAUAUAGUAAAUAUAAAAUAUAAAUAGAUCAAGGAAAUCUGAAUUGUAGAUAGCACUGCAAGUAACACUCAAUAUUCUCUAUAUAUAAUAAAAUAAACAGUGUCACAAUACUCAUCACCCAGUGGCAAGGGAGAAAAACCUACAAUGAGUACUCAAAUCACCAUUCUCAAACAGAAACAUAGCAGUGACUGAUACAUAGAACCUAUAUGCUCACAGGGAAAGAAUAAGAUGACCAGUGCACAGCGGGCAGCAGCUCUUAUUUUACGUACAACUCAAAUCCCAAACUAACCAAAGUCGCUCAGUUGGGAUGGGUGGGAGAUGGUGGUUUGUGGGAUGGCUUCUGGGUAGGAGCUGGUGGCUUCUGUCCCUUUGGUGGUUUGCCUAAUGAGCUUGGUGGCUUGUGCUCCGGGAGUUGUUUCUCUCCCUCGAGUAGGUUUCGAGUCUUGUCAGAUGGCUUGUGUUCUGGUGGUGGCUUCUCUCCCUGGGGUGGUUUGCCGAAUGGGCUUGGUGGCUUGUGUUCGGGGAGUGGCUUCUCUCCCUGGAGAAGGUUACGAGUUUUGUCAUAUGGCUUUUGUUCUGGUGGUGGCUUCUCUCCCUGGGGUGGUUUGCCGAAUGGGCUUGGUGGCUUGUGUUCGGGGAGUGGCUUCUCUCCCUGGAGAAGGUUACGAGUUUUGUCAGAUGGCUUGUGUUCUGGUGGUGGCUUCUCUCCCUGGGGUGGUUUGCCGAAUGGGCUUGGUGGCUUGUGUUCGGGGAGUGGCUUCUCUCCCUGGAGAAGGUUACGAGUUUUGUCAGAUGGCUUUUGUUCUGGUGGCGGCUUCUCUCCCUGGGGUGGUUUGCCAAAUGGGCUUGGUGGCUUGUGUUCGGGAACUGGCUUCUCUCCCUUGGGAGGUUCAGUUGGUGGCUGCUGUUCCGUAGGUGGUUUCUUCACCGGCGGCUUGUGCUCCGGAAGCGGCUUCUCUACCUGGAGAAGCUUACGAGUUUUGUCCGAUGGCUUGUGUUGUGGUGGUGGCUUCUCUCCCUGGGGUGGUUUGCCAAAUGGAGUUGGUGGCUUGUGUUCGGGGAGUGGCUUCUCUCCAUUGGGAGGUUUAGUUGGUGAUUGGUGUUCCGUAGGUGGUUUCUGAAGUGGGGGAUGCUUGGGGUAGUCAGCAAGAGACGAGGUAGUGAGAACCACCAGUCCCAGCAGCAACACUAGCAAGCAUGUGGAAGACAUCUUUGAGUUCAGGCUGAGAUCUGUGCAAGGAUAACAGAAUUAGGUGGCCUUUUAUAGAGGCCUGGACCCAACACCCAUAUGACACGUGUCAUGCACUCAUGGUGACACAUAAUUCUAUGGGACCAUUUGGGUCCUACAGAAGUUGCAAAGUUGGACUACUGAGGUGUGAUCACAACUUUUGUCCUUAUUGCUUUCUCUGCGGCCAUUGCACGAUUUCCUUUAGCAUCAUUUUCUUGGCUAAAUAAGCGUAUUAUAUUUGUGGCAGACCGUCCACGUGUCAUAAACAGAUAUAUUAUAAUAAUGUAGUAUGCUUUUCUCCAAUGGAACAUGACACUCUUCUAAGUCUUGUUUUAAAUAUUGUGCAGGAUUACUUUAUACGUUGCAGUUCCAAGUCAAAAUUGGUGGGCAAACGUUGGCCUUUUUUCAUUUCACCUAAGAUUAAUGCUCACCUGGGAUAGGCACUACAUGACUUAUCUGCUCUUUUACUGUAAAGUUGCUUUGUGUAUGAGAUACACCUCCCCUGCACACCCUCAACAUUCGUUGCUCUGUUUUCCUUGUGUCCAGACGAGGAUAUUAAUUGGAGGCUGACAAAACGACUGCUAGCCCAGGAUUUACAAGGUCCUGGUUUGAGGCUUCGGUGAAAGUAUUUUUGAAAAGACACACAUAGAGAUAGUGCGUUUGGUGCAAUGCAGCACUGUGAGCCAUUCUGACGCGUUCUUAAUUUCAAAACUAAUGAAUGCUUCAAAAUUUUAAGAAGUGACAUUUCCAAAUAUUUGAGUUCGUUUAAUUGAACAUUGGAUAACUAGUGAUCAUAGAUUAUUAUCUGUGCUUGGCACUAUAAGAGGGUAUAUGCUUCUUUUUCUGGCCCCUCCUUCAAGGGAGGAGGGACAAUGUGAUCUGUAACGUUAGAAGCUAUUCCAUGUCAUCUUUGGGCUCAGUUCAAAACUAAAAGAUAAUGGGGGGGGGGGGGGGGGGCAUAUCAUUUUAUAUUUCUUCUAGAAGGUUUGUUCUGGAAAUAUUUCACAGGAGCAUAUCUUUUUCUUCUAUUACGUCAUCCGCAGCCUCCAAUAGGUCGGUUAACAAGCCACCGAGUUGAAAAGUUGGAAAAAUGGGAACACAGCCCGCCUCUUGUAUUCAGUAGUUAAAUAAAAGGUCACUAGAAGUGAGAUCCCUUUUGGCGUCUUGAUUUUCAAUCCAGCACCUCUGUGACCUGACAAACCAAAAAAACUAAAAAAUAAAAAACAGUACGUGGGUUGGUGUUAAGCAUCAAGACAUGUUAAUGAAAGAAGGUAGAGAAUAGGAUAUUGAAAUCCCAAUCCUGAUAACAUGAUUUUCUUUGCUAACAACCAUAUUAUAUUUUAUCAAGAAAGAGUAAUGCAUGUGGCGUCCAUCAAGACCCAUUAGAGUUCCGCUAAAGCUAUAGUUCUGUCAACGUUAUCAUUUACGUUUCCUCUAGAUAAUGGCAUUUUCCUCUAAAGCUCUUGCACCAUUAGGCUUCAAGUCAAAAUUUCACAUGUGAACUUUGGAAAUUUUCUCCAUUUGCCCCUAAGGAUACAGUUAGAAUUGACUUAAAAUCCUGAUUGAUAUGUACUAUUAACCAAAGAAUAUUGUAUAUAAUAAUUGAAAUAUUGUUGAUUCAUCGUGGAAAUACAUUUUGUAAGGAAAGUUGUUGAGAAUUUAGUAUGCUAUAUGGAGAAAAAAGUCAUGACUUAAGGUUGUGUAUGUAUAUUCUAUAUCAAAUAUUAGGUAGGAAUGUGGGAAAGAGCAGAGUGUAAUGAUAAGAAACAAAGAAAUAUAAGAUAUUCUUGAAAGUGGAAAAUAUAAAAUGGCUAACGAGUCAAAUUUAUGAUGCGUAAGGGGGAUCAUGUCACAUAAGAAAACCAUGGCAUACUAAAGACGUACGUGUGGUAUGGAGUAAUAAUUUUGUUAAAAUAAGUUUCUUGUUGGAGUACAUUAGGUGACUAUUCAUAACGUAUCAAAUUAAAGAGUCAAGUGCAUCAAUGAAGGCAUAUGUAGAAAAUUUGUUUGUGACAUGUACCAUAAAGAUAAGAUUGACUUGAUAGAAUUUAGUCUAAGUAGGAGUUGUUAAAGGUGUCUUAAAUUUCUAAUUGAUGUAUAUUUUUUUCUAAAAAAAUAUUAUAUAGAUAUUUUAAUAAAUGAUUAAUUCUUUGUAAAAAUACUUACAUAAUAAAAAACAUCAUUAAAAAUAUCUUUAUAAAUAUUUUAAGUUACAAGAAGGAAAAAAACCACUGUGAGAUAAUGAUGAACAUGCAACACUGUACCAAGUAAAUAAAAAUGUGAUAAAAAAAAAAGAGAAACACUCGAUAAAGGAAGGCUCGUAUAUAAAGAGUAAUAUUUUUAAUCAUAUGAUAGAAUGAUUUUCUCUCAUUCAUGAAUAUAGGCAAGAUUGGGGAACCAUUAUAAAAUUUUGUACACCUCGUGUAAAUUGAUGUUUGUCUUCAUAUUUUACACCAACAAAUGACAUUGAAGUUGUCAUUGAUAAAAGGGAAAAGGCAUGCCUCCACACCAUGUGCUUGAUUCGAAUGGUUCAAGUUUGAAGAAUUUUCUCCGGAAGAUCUAAAACAUUUUCGCCUUUAAAUUUCAUUUGAUUAUUAAUAUCCGAAAAAAUAGUUAAAUACUCUUUCUAUUUUUGAGUUGUUGAAUUUUUUGAAAGUUUUUAUAUUUGUUAUCAAGAAUUUCUAUUUUAUUAAGGGUGAAUAUUUAUAAAUAAGAUAUUAUAUAAUAUUUGGAUAAGAGAGAAUGGUGGAAUAUAAUAAAGUUUUAAUCCUUCCCAAUUUUGAACCUUUUUUUUUUUUUUUGAUAUAAUCGCCUUUCUCUUGCAAUCCUAUUAUCAGGUACCUUAUAUUUGCUGAUGCUAUCUGGAACUAAAUUCCAAUCAGGCAUUGUCCAAUUACUAAUAGGACAGAUCAUAUCUCUCUGUUUCUAAACUAACAUGUAUCGUAAUGUGACCUCAUAAGGAAGGCUAGGAAGAUGGAGGAUUUUGUGGGAAGCGACCAGAAUCAGAUGGAAGAGAGAUAGCCCUGUUGACCUAAUGGCUGUAAUAGGAGAAGCGUGUGGUUUUAUGGGACUUAACUGAUACUAAACCUGUAUGAUGCUUGGAGUGGUGUUUCUUUCAUUUUGUUAAGAAAAUAUGGCAGCAUACAUGCUUUCAACUGAGUGCAUCAGAGCAUCCAUAACAGAUGGUCUGCAACCCUAGGUGCAUGCCACUUUCUGACUGAUAAUGAAAUUGUCAGGUACCUGGCCUUGACUAAGCUCAACAGCAUCACAUAAAGAGAAGCUUUCAUACUUAGAUUACUGUUUAAAGUUUUUGCUUAUUUGAUUUCUUAAUGCCAUUAUGACAUUAUUGAUUCAAUUCUGCUUCCGAUUUUCGAAGUUCUGGGCAUCUACUGAUUGCAUCAUUAUAUGAGAAGUUGCAUGAGUUUAUGUAUCCUGUUAUUGUUCCUUUGCGAUUUCACUGCUCACGGGACUAACCUCUCCAUUCAGUCGAAAUGAAUUGUAAUUUCUUUACUGGUAGCAGUAGUACUUUUCAUAGCAAAGAUAAUAGAAAAUAUGAAAUAUAAAUAGAAGGAAAUCUGGAUUGUAGAUAGCACCAUAAGUAACACUCAAUAUUCACUACAUAAUAAAUAGACAGUGUUACAUAGGUAGAGAAACCUACAAUGAGUACUCAUCACCAUUCUCAAACAGAAACAUAGCAGCGACUUAUACAUAGAACCUAUAGGCUCGCAGGGAAAGAGUAACAUGAUAAGUUCACAGCGGGUAGCAGCUCUUAUUUUACGUAUUACUCAAAAUCUCAAACUAACCAAAGUCACUCAGUUGGGAUGGGUAGGAGAUGGUGGUUUGUGGGGUGGCUUCUGGGUAGGAGCUGGUGGCUUCUUUGUUGGAGUUGAAGGAGGCAUAUUCUUCUGAGGUGGCUUGUAUGACUCUUCGGCACUCUCUGCAGGAGGGUGCCCAGGGUUGUGACCAGAAGGAGGUGGCUUCUGUCCCUUUGGUGGUUUGCCUAAUGGGCUUGGUGGCUUGUGCUCCGGGAGUUGUUUCUCUCCCUCGAGUAGGUUUCGAGUUUUGUCAGAUGGCUUGUGUUCUGGUGGUGGCUUCUCUCCCUGGGGUGGUUUGCCGAAUGGGCUUGGUGGCUUGUGUUCGGGGAGUGGCUUCUCUCCCUGGAGAAGGUUACGAGUUUUGUCAGAUGGCUUUUGUUCUGGUGGCGGCUUCUCUCCCUGGGGUGGUUUGCCAAAUGGGCUUGGUGGCUUGUGUUCGGGAACUGGCUUCUCUCCCUUGGGAGGUUCAUUUGGUGGCUGGUGUUCCGUAGGUGGUUCCUUCACCGGCGGCUUGUGCUCCGGAAGCGGCUUCUCUACCUGGAGAAGCUUACGAGUUUUGUCAGAUGGCUUGUGUUGUGGUGGUGGCUUCUCUCCCGGGGGUGGUUUGCCAAAUGGACUUGGUGGCUUGUGUUCGGGGAGUGGCUUCUCUCCAUGGGGAGGUUUAGUUGGUGGUUGGUGUUGCGUAGGUGGUUUCUGAAGUGGGGGAUGCUUGGGGUAGUCAGCAAUAGACGAGGUAGUGAGAACCACCAGUCCCAACAGCAACACUAGCAAGGAUGUUGAAGACAUCUUUGAGUUCAGGCUGAGAUCUGUGCAAGGAUAAAAGAUUUAGGUGGCCUUUUAUAGAGGGCUGGACCCAACACCCAUAUGACACGUGUCAUGCACUCAUGGUGACACAUAAUUCUAUGGGACCAUUUGGGUCCUACAGAAGUUGCAAAGUUGGACUAUUGAGGUGUGAUCACAACUUUUGUCCUACUUGCUUUCUCUGCGGCCAUUGCACGAUUUCCUUUAGCAUCAUUUUCUUGUCUAAAUAAGCGUAUUAUAUUUGUGGCAGACCGUCCACGUGUCAUAAACAGAUAUAUUAUAAUAAUGUAGUAUGCUUUUCUUCAACGGAACUUGACACUCUUCUAAGUCUUGUUUUAAAUACUGUGCAGGAUUACGUCAUAAGUUGCUUGUUCCAAGUCAAAAUUGGUGGGCAAACGUUGGCCUUUUUUCAUUUUCCCUAAUAUUAAUGCUCACCUGGGAUAGGCACUACAUGAUUUAUCUGCUCUUUUACUGUGAAGUUGCUUUGUGCAUGAGUUACACCUCCCCUGCACACCCUCAACAUUUGUUGCUCUGUUUUUCUUGUGUCCAGACGAGGAUAUUAAUUGGAGGCUGACAAAACGACUGCUAGCCAAGGAUUUACAAGGUCCUGGUUUGAGGCUUUCACGAAAGUAUUUUUGAAAAGAUACACAUAGAGAUUGCGCGUUCGGUGCAAUGCAACAAUGUGAGCCAUUCUGAAGUCUUAAAUUUCAGAUUAAUGAAUGCUACAAAAUUCUAAGAAGGGCCGUUUCCAAAUAUUUGAGUUCAUUCAUCCGAACAUCGGGUAUAUGCUUCUUUCUCUAGCCCCUCCUUGAAGGGAGGAGGGACAAUGUGAUCUGUAUCGUUAGAAGCUAUUCCAUGUCGUCAUCUUUGGGCUCAGUUCAAUACUAAAAGAUAUGGGCGGGGCCCUUAUCAUUUUAUAUUUCUUCUAGAAGGUUUAUUCUGGAAAUCUUUCACAGAAACAUAUCUUUUUCUUCUCUACGUGAUCCGUGGUUUGAAAGUUGGAAAAAUGGGUCCGUUAACAAGCCACCGAGUUGAAAAGUUGGAAAAAUGGCAACACCGCCAACCUCUUGUAUUCGAUAGUUAAAUAAAAGGUCACUGGAAGUGAGAUCCCUUUUGGCCUCUUGAUUUUCAUUCCAGCAUCUCUAUGGCCUGAUAAAUUAAAAAACUAAAAAAAAAGACAGUACGUGGGUUGGUGUUAAGCAUCAAGAGUCAAGACAUGAUAAUGGAGAGAAAGGAUAUUCAAAUUCCAGUUCUGACAACAUGAUUUUCUUUGCUGAACUACCAUAUUAUAUUUGAUCAAGAAAGAGUAGUGCAUGUGGCCAGGAUCAAGACAUACAUUAAUUUCCACAUGAUGAAGACAGUUUCUGAGAGUUUCUUCUAAAGCUCUUGCGCGAGUAGGCUUCAAGUCAAAAUCUCCCAUGUAAACACUGGUUUUUCUUUCAUUGCCACUAAGGAUGCAGUUAAUAUUGACUUAAGAUCCUACGUGAUAUAUUUUUUUAAAAGAGCUAUAUUGUAGAUAAUAUUUGAAAUAAUGUUGAUUCGUUGUGGAAAUAUAUUUGUAAGGAAAGUUGUUGACAAUUUAAUAUAGUAUAAGAAGAAAAAAGUUAUCAACUAGCUAGAGAUGAGUAUGUAAAGUGAGGCUCACGAUUCAACGCGUAAAUAUAAGAUAUUUUAAGGCUCAAUAGUUAUGAUAUCUAUUUUAUUUUUUGUAUCUCAUAUAUUCAAAGAUAUAGUAAAAUGAUUUUACAUAUAUAUAUAUAUAUAUAUAUGAACAUAACUAUUUGUGCCAAUUGAUUUUUAUCUUUAUUUUGUAUAUUAGUAAUUAUAUUAAAGUUUUUACUAAUAUAAUAACUAAUAUAAAAGCUUUUUCUAAAAGAGUCAACAGAGCAAAACACUUAUUAUAAAAAAUAAUUUUGAUUGAAGGUGGAGUCAAUUAUUCUUUAUUUAACAUGUAAUGCAUACGGCGUGUACUUCAUAACUAAAGUAUAUAAGUGUAACAUCUCUUAUAUAUUCUCAUUCAAUCUCGAAAGUGGAAAUUUUAAAAAGAUUAAACGGUUCAAAUUUGUCGUGCAUAAAGGGGAUCAUGUCACAUAAGCAAACCAUGGCAUACCAAAGACAUAGGUAUGGACUAAGAAUUUUUUUCAAAUAAGUUUCUUAUUAGGGUACAUUAAUAGGUGACUUUUUAUGACAUAUCAAAGGAGUCAAGUGCACCAAUAAAAACAUAUAUAGAAAAUUCAUGCAUGACAUGUAUCACUAAGAGAAGAUUGACUUGAUAGAGUUUAAUCCAAAUAGGAGAUUGUUAAAAGGUGUCUCAAAUUCUUGAUUGAUAUAUAUUUUUUUUAUUAAAAAGGUUAUUAUAUAGAUAUUUCAAUAGACUAUUAAUUCUUUGUAAAAAUAGUUAUAUAAUGAGGAUGGUGAUUAAAAAUAUCUCUAUCAAUAUUUUGGAUUAUAAAAAGAAAAAAAAUGAGAUAAUGAUAAACAUAUAAAACUUGUACAAGUAGAUAAAGAUGUGAUGAAAGACACUUGAUGAAUGAAGGCUUUGUAUUUCAAGAUAUAAAUAUAUGGAGCAAAACUCUUAAUUAUAUGAUCAAAUGAUUCUCUCAUAUUCAUGAAUAUAAGCAGGAUUGGGGAACCAUGAUAGAAUCUUAUAUGCCUCUCCAUGUAGAGUGAUCGAUGUUUAUCUUCAUAUUUUACACCAGUGAAUGACAUUGAAACUCUUAUUGAUAAAAGGGAAAAGGCAUGGCCUCCACCCCAAGAAAAACAAGUAACCUCGGUUUAAAUCACUAGUCUACACCCCGAAGAGAGAACUAGCCAAACCUACUAAAAGAGAAACUUAACAAUUUAGAAAGAAACCGUCCAUGAUAAAGGGCCCCUAAAGGUCCAAUUCAGUGAGGUCGUGAACAAAAACACUUUCAUGUCAAAACAGAGAUAGGUACCACCAAAAUGUAAAGGGAAAGAUGUAAACCACGUCGAACUUUGGUAAUCAAUGGUAAAGAUAGCAUGAUAGCUAAAAGCACUAAAGCUGUGCUUGGUAUGCAAAAAUGAAAAGUGGAAAUCAGCGUCUUAUUCUUUUUCACCUUUAUUCACAUAUUAGGAUAACUAAUAUCUAAUGUUUUUUAUGUCUCAAAUUCUAUUCCAUGUUAUGGUAAACUUUCAUCUUGUUUAGAUCACUUUUGUCUGGUUUGGGCUCAAGACGAUAAGCCUAUAGAGACUUCAUAUUGGGUUGAAUCGAUGCCCUUGAUCUGAUCUGUUCGUUAGAAAAAUCUGAAUUAUUAUAAGCAUUUAGAUAAAAAAUAAAUAAAUGUGAAACACAAACUACUCCCUGCACAACCUUGACCCUAGUUACUCAGUUUCACUGCUCACAGGACUAACCUCUCCAUUCAGUCGAAAUGAAUUGUAACAAGAAGAUUUUUGACAGGAGGACGGUAGUUUAAAAUAAUAAUUUCUAAAGUACUUUUGUGAAAAAAAAUAAUUCCAAACGUGGAUUUUAUCAAGUAAAAAGAAAAAAAAAAGUUAUUUUCUUUUAAAAUCUGUUCUUCUAAAGAUGAUAUAUAUACCAAAAAAAAAAAUUGUUUUCUGAAGGUAAAAUUUUUAAAAUUCAUUUUUAAAAAAAUUUACACACUAAAAUUAUCUUUUCAAGAGAAGAUUUUUUUAAUUUUAAAUAAUUAUUAAUUUAUAAUUAAUUUGUUAUUAAUUAUUUAUUAAUUUUUUUAUUUGAAAAAUGCAUUUAUAAAAAACAAAUUUGUUAUUAAUUUAUUAAAUAAUUUUUACAAAAUAAAUAAUUUUUUUUUAUUUUAAUUUUAAAAUUAAUUUUAUUAUAUAAAUUUUAAAAUUAAAAAUAUUAAUAUUUAAUUUAAAAUUUAACUAUAAAAGGAAUAAAAUAUAGAAAAAUAAAUUAAUUUAUUAUUCAAUAAAUUAAUUUUCAAUAAAAUUUUCAGCAUUAAGAGAUAAAUUUUUAAGUAUUAAUCAAUUUAAAAAGAAAUAAUGAUCAUUUGUAUAUUAAGAUAUUUUAUUUAGUAAUUAUGAAUGAUAAACAACUAAAGUAAUUUGAAAAAAUAAUAAAAUAUUUAAAAAAUAAUAAUUUAAUACACGUAAAAUUAGAAAUGAUUAACUAUUUUUUAUUAAGAAAAAAUUGAGGAAAUAUUUUGUUAUUUAAAAUUUUUUAUUUGUUUUCAAUUUUUAAUGUUAUAGGUUUCAAGAAAAUUGAUCAAAUAAAAAUUAAGAAGUCAUUUUUUCAAAAACUAUAUAUCUAAAUAAAAGCCUUGAAAUUCAAAUACACAAUAUCAUAAAUAUAAACACCAAGUCAAUCCUUAAUUAUCAAAUGUUUUUAAUAUUAAAGAAUCAAAAUCACCUACUAUCAUGAUAAUAAGAAAACCAAUAAUAUUGUUCAUAUAAAUACUAAAAAGCUAACAAAUAUCCCAAACAAUUAAUAAAGUAUCAAACAUGAUAAAAAGUCAAUUAUUAUCAUGAAUGCAAAAAAUCAAUAAUUUUGUUUAUAUGAACCAUCAACAAAGAAAAAAAAAAUCAAUAUCUAAAUAUUAAACAUAAUUUAUAUUUUUAUAAAUAUUAUUGUUGAUAAAUAUCUUAACAAUUAUAAUUUUAGUAAAUAAAAUUAAUUAAUUUUAGUUUAAGAAUUAUUUUUUUAUACUUUCGUAUUCUUAUCAAAAAUCCCCAUUUUGCAUGUCUCCUUUGGCAUGACUUUCUUACCUAAACAAGCAUAUAUAUAUAUAUAUAUAUAUAAAAUAUUUGGUUAAGAAAGAGUACUAAAGUUUAUAUGGCACACAUCAAGAUAGAAACAGAAGUGGAAGAUAAUCCAAAUGUAUGAACAGAUAUAUUAUAUCCAUGUAGUGGUAGUGACUUCAUUAUUUACUUUUAUCUAAUGGAGCAUGACACACUUCUUCUGAAUAUUUUGCACGAUUAUGUUAUGUGUCAGCUUGUUCUAAGUCAAAACUAGUGAUAAAAAUCGGUUUUUUUUGCAUUUCCUUCAUGAAGAUGGCACCUGGAUGGGGCACUACAUGAGUGGCAUAGCACGAAGUGAUUUAUCUGCUCCCUUUACUAUAAAGUGCUUUGUGUAUAAGUUACACCUCCCCUGCACUGCCUCAACAUUUGUUGUUCUGUCUUCCGUCUGUCCAAACGAGGACAAACGUAUGUUGUAGGUUGACAAAACCACAGCUAGCCUAGGAUUUGCAAGGAUCUAGUUUGAUUCGUAUGCAAAAGGAUUGGUGAAAAGAUUCACAAAGAUAAUGCUUUUUGCAAUGCAAUCUUGUUCUAAUUCAACAGUGUGGACCAUUUUCAUGUAAUGCUUCAACUAGAUGUCAGUUUCAUGAAUUUUUGUUCAUCUAAUUGAUCACUGGAUAGGCCAUAACCCGAAGAAAUUCAAAAUUCCCUUCAGUACUGUAGCUAAGGAAAGAUCCCUAUCUACCACUGGGAUUUUAAGAGGGUAAAAAUGUAGGUGGGUGCCUAUAUCAUUUGCACUUCACUAUAGGCCUCUUUGGGAAGAUUUCUUCUGAAGACAUUUCAAAGAAACAUAUUUUUCUCUUCUCUCCGUAAACGGCAGCUGCAAGUCAGUCCAUUCACAGGCCACCGAGUUGAAAAGGCUGGAAAAUUGGCCAAAGCACCCGCCUCCUGGAUUCCAUGGGUAAGGAAAAGGUCACUGGAGGUGUGAUCCCUGUUGGCCUCUUGAUUUCCAUUCCGCCAUCUAUAUGACCUGAUAACCCAAAAACACAGAAGGAAAACGUCACCUGGGUUCAUAGUAAGCAUCAAGUCAUGAUAGAGACCAGACAACAUGACCAACAAAGAGUAGCGAAUGGGGCCAACAUCAAGCCCCAUUACGGUUAGAAGAUGGAAGAAGUAGAAGACAAUCCAAUUCUGAUAGAUUCGGGCAAAUGUAGUGCUGUUCAAACUUAAUCAUUUACUAUUUCUUCAUGAAUCACGGCAUUUUUCUUCUGAAAAUUUUCCAAGAUUAGGCCUCUGAAGAAAAAUUUCAUAUGUAAAUUGGUAUAUUAAGGAAAAGGCGUUACAAAGGUGAAAAAAAACCAAUCAAAUCUUAUAUAUGACAUCUCAAAAAUAUGAACUUGCUAUAAAUAUUUAAAAUCAAAAUCUUGCACAUCACCUCGUAGUACGAACUUGCUAUAAAACUUGAAAAUCAAGAAGAAAGGGGCAGUAUUGGACGAGACUACUUAGCACAUAUUAUUAUGAUGUUUUUUCAUUUUCUUAAUGUUGUUUUUAUGUCUUAAAUUCUAUUAUUCUAUGUUACGGUAAACAUUCAUCUUGUUUGUGUGGAAUAGGAUCACUUUUCUCUGGGUUGAGUCGAUGCCCUUAGUUAAUUUGUUCAUUUGAAUAAACUAAAUUAUUAUAAGUAUUUAGAUAAGAAAAACGUGAUACAUAAAUUACGCCUCUCGGCACAACUUCAACACUGGUUACUCUGUUUCAGUUUCCUCACACAAGAUUAUUGGUUCUAGGGUUUAUUUGGUUUUGGUUUGAUUCUAAUUGCUAAACUUUCUCAAGGAAGAUGUUAUAUAGGGAGUGAGAAACCUUCACUCUUGGCUACCUCCAAGAGAAGAGCAAGUGGUCUGAAUCAAAGAUAUACUGCUCACUUUUUCUUCUUCUAAGGACAGCUAUGACCUUGCUUUAAGGUUCGAAUAGCCUAAUGCAACCUCCCAUUUCUCAAGUCAGCUGAUGAUGUAAGUCACCUUGGCUUUCCACAUUCAUACGGUGAGGACGUUUGUGGGUGUAAUUCUCUUAACAGUUUUCAUUUUAUAUGGAAAAAUUCAUAAUUAAGGGUAAUUACUGAUUCCAUUUGACAGUGACCAAGUUUAAAAUAUUAAUUCAUAUAUUAAAUGCACAUUAAAAAAUCAUGGAAUAAAUAUAUUUACUAAUAUAUAGUUCUUUUGCCAUGUUCUGUCACAGAAGCAUCGAACUUUCCCUAGAAAUUUUUGCAUGGUAUUCUACUUAUGAUUUUGAAAACUCUAGGCACCUGAGGCCACUAAUUGCAUGGUUGGAUGAGGAGCUGCAUGAGAUUAUGUAUCGUGUUGUUCCUUAACUACAAAUAUCAGUUUUAAGUAGCAUCUCCAUGUGACAUUUUCCUGAUGCAAUUUCGCUGUCCACCAACAAAUUUCACCAUGCAGCAAGAUGAAUUGUAAUUUCUUUAUUGUUAUCAACAGCUUUAAUUAAUCUUGAUAUAUAUAUAUAACUUAGUAGAAGUAUAUUAAUCUAGAUUGUAGUUGCACUAAGAUAAUAGGCAAUAUUAUAACAGUGCCACAAUGCUCAUCGCCAAAUAGAAAGGUAGAAAAACUACAAUGAGUAACUCACAACAUUCUCAAACAGGACAUAGCGGCGACUGAUACAUAGAACACUAUUGGCACUCAGGAAAUGAUAAGAUCAGUGCCCAGCAGGCAGCACGUCUUAUUUUACAUACUACUUAAAACUAACCAAAGUCAUUCAGUUGGGAUGGGUGGGAGAUGGUGGUUUGUGCGGUGGCUUUUGGGUAGUUGGUGGCUUCUUUCCUGGAACUGAUGGUUUUUUUGUUGGAGUUGAAGGAGGCUUAAUCGUCUGAGGUGGCUUGUAUGAGUCUUCAGCACUCUCUGCGGGAGGGUGCCCAGGGUUGUGACCAUAAUGGGGUGGCUUCUCUCCCUUAGUUGGUUUGCCAAGUGGGCUGGCUGGCUUGUGCUCCGGGAGCGGCUUCUCUCCCUUAGGUGGUUUGCCAAAUGGGCUUGCUGGCUUGUGCUCUGGGAGCGGCUUCUCUCCCUCAAGAAGUUUACGGGUUUUGUCAGAUGGCUUGUGUUCUGGUGGUGGCUUCUCUCCUUGGGGUGGUUUGCCAAAUGGACUUGGUGGCUUGUGUUCGGGGAGUGGCUCCUCUCCCUUGGGAGGUUUAGUUGGUGGCUGGUGUUCCAUAGGUGGUUUCUCAACCGGGGGCUUGUUCUCCGUUGGUGGUUUAUGAACUGGGGGAUGCUUGGGGUAGUCAGCAAGAGACGGGGUGGUGAGAACCACCAGUCCCAGCAGCAACACUAGCAAGUAUGUGGAAGAGUACAUCUUUGAGUUCAGGCUGAGAUUUGUGCGAGACUUGAAGAAUUAGGUGGCCUUUUAUAGCUGGCUGCACCCAACACUCACAUGACACGUAUCAUGGUGACACAUGUGCUAUGGGUCCAUUUGGGUCCUACAGAAGCUGAAAACUUUUGACUAUUGAGGUGUGGUCACAACUUUUGUCCCUAUUGCUUUCUCCGCAACCGUUUUACAUGUUUCCUUUGGCAUAAUUUUCUAAGCUAAACAAGCAUAUAUCAUAUUUGGUUAAGAAAGAGUAAAGUGUAUAUGGCACACAUCAAGGAAGAGAAACAGAAAAAGUGGGAGACAAUCAAUUGUGAUAAACAGAUAUAUUAUAUUCAUGUAGUACUAGUGACUUUAUCAUUUACUUUUAUCCAAUAGAUCAUCACUCUUUCUUCUAAAUAUUUUGGAGGAUAAUGGUACAUGUUGCUUGUUUCCAAGUCAAAAUUGGUGGCAAAAAUCGGCAUGAUACGAAAGGAUUGGUGAAAAGAUUCACAUAGAUGGUGCUUUGUGCAAUGCAGUCUUGCUCUAAUUCAACAGAGUGGACCAUGGUGAUGUAUUUUAAAUUUUAAAUUUUAAAUUAAUGCAUGCUUCAAAGUUUUAACUAGAUGUCACUUCCAUGGAUUUUUGUUCAUUUAAUUGAGCACAGGAUAGGCUAUCAAACUUGAAGUAAUAUAAAAAUCCCUUCAUUACUGUAACUAAUGAAAGAUCAUUAUCUGCGCUUGGUAUUUUGCCAAGGUAUUUGCUGCUCUUUCUAGCCCUGUCUUACAGUUAAGGACAAUGUGAUCUAGUUAACCUUAGAAGCUAUUCCAUGUCAGAUACAAGAGAUCAAGCACAUUAUCUUUGGGCUCAGUUCAAAACUAUAAUAUAUGGGUGGGGUGGAGGCCCAUAUCAUUUGCAUAUCACCACUAUUGGUUUAGUUUGGAAGGUUUCUUCUGGAAGAUUGCUGCUUUCUGGAAUCAUUUCAAAGAAAUAUAUCUUUUUGUUCUCUUGGUGACGAGCAGCGGCAAUCAAGUCUGUUGACAAACAACCGAGUUGAAAAGUUUGAAAAUUGGUCACAGCCCACGUCCAUGGUUAAGGAAAAGGUCACUGGAAGUGAUCCCUUCUGGGCCUCUUGAUUUCCAUUCUGACAUCUAUAUGACCUGAUAAAUAGAAAGAAAAAAAAACAGAAGAAAAGCGGCACCCGGGUUCAUAGUAAGCAUCAAGACAGGAUACUGAAAGAAGGGAGAAAGGAGAUUGCAAGUCCAAUCCUGAUAAAAUGAUCAACAAAGAGUAUCAAAAUGGGGCCAACAUAAAGACCCAUUGAGGUUAGCAGAUGGCAUGGCAUUUUUCUCCUUAAGUUUUCCAUGAUUAGACUUGAAGUCAAAAUUUCACAUGUAAAUUUGUAUUUCUACAUUUCCCACUGACGACACCCAACUUCAACUUGAGUUAGAAUAACAUUGUGUGAACUUAUCUGGCCCUCAAAAUUUACUGUGAAGUGCUUUCUGCGUGUGAAGAUUCAGAAAAGCACCAAGGGAACAUGUAUGGUCUGCCUUUUUCUGAUGUUAUGUUUGUCUCUAAUUCUGUUCCAUGUCAUGGUAAAUGUUCACAUUGCUUGUAUGGAACACACCAGGAUCACUUUUUCGGGUUUAUUUUGAGGCUUCAUAUUGGGUUCAUAUUGGGUUCAAUGCUUUUAAUGUGUUCAUUAGACAAAUCUGAAUUAUCAUAUGCAUUUAGAUAAGAACAAUAAUGUGAAACCCUAGUUACACCUCCCCUGCAUAACCCCAACCCUGCUUACUCUAUUUCAGUUUACUCACACAAGUUUUACCGGUUCUUAUAAGUCAAGAAAAGGCAACUGAUGUUGGAUUGACUCUCUUCCAUGUAUAAAAAGCAACUUUUAUAUAUACAUAAAAUAACUUCUUCCCCUCACCAAUGUGGGAUAUCAUGGAUUUAUUCUGGAAACACAUCAAAGGAACAUCUUUUCUCUUGGGUGACCCUAAGUGGUGAGUCAGACCAUUUGCAUGCCAUUGAGUUGCACAGUUGGAUAAAUGCACCUACCUCCUGGGCUCCAGAGUUAAAAGGGUGGAUCCCUGGAUCGCAACCCUCUUGGCAUCUUGGUUUCCAUUCCAACAUCCACAUGACUUGACAAAACAAAAAACAGAAUAAAAUCAUCACUAUUUUCAUGCUAAGCACCAAUACAUGAUGGAAAUCAUUGCUUAAAGAUUUGGGGUCAUUUAGGUUUUGACUGCCUCCUAACACCUCACCUAAUCACAAGUUUUUAUGCUUACAAAUCAAAUAUCGUUCUUCAUUAUAUUAAAAUCAUUUUAAGAUUUCAGAUCCAUCUGCUAAUUAUGAUUAUGAUAACAUUAAUUCACCUGUGCUUCUCAUUUUCGACACACAAGGCAUCUAGGUUUGCAGGAUUUCCUUAUUAGAUGAGAUAAAUGAGUACGCAUGGUUAUGUAUGCAGCAUUCAUUAACCAUGGUAUGUGACAUUUAGAAUUAAGAUAGCAAGCAAACUUUCCCUGCAGCUUGAGUAAAUUGUGAUUUCUUAGCCUCUAUGAGUGGUUCCCAAAUCAAAUUAACAUAGUGAAAUAUACGUAGUCCAGUGAAAGGAAAUGUAAAUUAUAAACUAACAGCACUACACUACUGGUAACACUCGAUACUCUCUAUAUAAUGCAAUGAAAUAUACGUUAUACGUUGCUUGUUCCAAGUCAAAAUUUGUGGCCAAACGUUGGCCUUUUUUCAUUUUCCCUAAGAUUAAUGCUCACCUGGGAUAGGCACUACAUGAUUUAUCUGCUCUUUUACUGUAAAGUUGCUUUGUGUAUGAGUUACACCUCCCCUGCACACCCUCAACAUUUGUUGCUCUGUUUUCCUUGUGUCCAGACGAGGAUAUUAAGUGGGGGCUGACAAAACGACUGCUAGCCAAGGAUUUACAAGGUCCUGGUUUGACGCUUCCGCGAAAGUAUUUUUGAAAAUAUACACAUAGAGAUUGCGCGUUCGGUGCAAUGCAACAAUGUGAGCCAUUCUGAAGUUUUUAAUUUCAGAUUAAUGAAUGCUACAAAAUUCUAAGAAGGGCCGUUUCCAAAUAUUUGAGUUCAUUUAUCCGAACAUCGGAUAAGUAAUGAUCAUAGAUUAUUAUUAUUAUCUGACGUUCUUAUAAUGGUUGGCAUUAUAAGAGGGUAUAUGCUUCUUUCUCUAGCCCCUCCUUCAAGGGAGGGACAAUGUGAUCUGUAUCGUUAGAAGCUAUUCCAUGUCGUCAUCUUUUGGCUUAAGUCAAUACUAAAAUAUAUGGGCGGGGCCCCUGUCAUUUUAUAUUUCUUCUAGAAGGUUUGUUCUGGAAAUCUUUCACCGAAACAUAUCUUUUUCUUCUCUACGUGAUCCGUGGUUGGAAAGUUAGAAAAAUGGGUCCGUUCACAAGCCACCGAGUUGAAAAGUUGGAAAAAUGGCAACACCGCCAACCUCUUGUAUUCGAUAGUUAAAUAAAAGGUCACUGGAAGUGAGAUCCCUUUUGGCCUCUUGAUUUUCAUCCCAGCAUCUCUAUGUCCUGAUAAACUAAAAAACUAAAAAAAAAACAGUACGUGGGUUGGUGUUAAGCAUCAAGAGUCAAGACAUGAUAAUGGAGAGAAAGGAUAUUCAAAUUCCAGUUCUGACAACAUGAUUUUCUUUCCUGAACAACCAUGUUAUAUUUGAUCAAGAAAGAGUAGUGCAUGUGGCCAGGAUCAAGACAUACAUUAAUUUCCACAUGAUGAAGACAGUUUCUGAGAGUUUCUUCUAAAGCUCUUGCGCUAGUAGGCUUCAAGUCAAAAUUUCCCAUGUAAACACUGGAUUUUCUUUAAUUGCCACUAAGGAUACAGUUAAAAUUGACUUAAAAUCCUACGUGAUAUAUAUCUUUAACAAAAGUAUAUUGUAUAUAAUAUUUGAAAUAAUGUUGAUUCGUUGUGGAAAUAUGUUUGUAAGGAAAGUUGUUGACAAUUUAAUAUAGUAUAAGAAGAAAAAAGUUAUCAACUAGAGAUGAGUAUGUAAAGUGAGGCUCACGAUUCAACGCGUAAAUAUAAGAUAUUUUAAGGCUCAAUAGUUAUGAUAUCUAUUUUAUUUUUUGUAUCCCAUAUAUUCAAAGAUACAGUAAAAUGAUUUUAUAUAUAUGAACAUAGCCGAUAGUAUCAUGUUAAAACCUUAUAUGACUCUUUGUGCCAAUUGAUUUUUAUCUUUAUUUUGUGUAUUAGUAAUUAGUAUUAAAGUUUUUACUAACAUAAUAAUUGAUAUAAAAGCUUUUUCCAAAAGAGUCAAACAGAGCAAAACACUUAUUAUAAAAAGAAUUUUGAUUGAAGGUGGAGUCAAUUAUUCUUUAUUCAACAUGUGAUGCAUACAGCGGGUACUUCAUAACUAAAGUAUAUAAGUGCAACAUCUCUUAUACAUUCUCAUUCAAUCUCGAAAGUGGAAAAUUUUAAAAGAUUAAAUGGUUCAAAUUUUCCGUGCAUAAAGGGGAUCAUGUCACAUAACCAAACCAUGGCAUACCAAAGCCAUGAUAUGGACUAAGAAUUUUGUUAAAAUAAGUUUCUUAUUAGGGCACAUUAUGUGACUAUUUAUGACAUAUCAAAGGAGUCAAGUGCAUCAAUAAAGACAUAGAAAAUUCAUGCAUCACAUGUACCACUAAGAGAAAAUUGACUUGAUAGAGUUUAGUCCAAAUAGGAGAUUGUUAAAAGGUGCAUCAAAUUCUUGAUUGAUAUAUAUUUUUUUUAUUAGAAAGGUUAUUAUAUAGAUAUUUCAAUAGACUAUUAAUCCUUUGUAAAAAUAGUUAUAUAAUGAGGAUGGUGAUUAAAAAUAUCUCUAUCAAUAUUUUGGAUUAUAAAAAGAAAAAAAAUAUGAGAAAAUGAUAAACAUAUAAAACUUGUACAAGUAGAUAGAGAUGUGAUGAAAGACACUUGAUGAAUGGAGGCCUUGUAUUUCAAGAUGUAAAUAUAUGGAGCAAAACUCUUAAUUAUAUGAUCAAAUGAUUCUCUCAUAUUCAUGAACAUAAGCAGGAUUGGGGAACCAUGAUAGAAUCUUAUAUGCCUCUCCAUGUAGAUUGAUCGAUGUUUAUCUUCAUAUUUUACACCAAUGAAUGACAUUGAAACUCUGAUUGAUAAAAGGGAAAAAGCAUGGCCUCCACCACAAGAAAAACAAGUAACCUCGGUCUAAAUCACUAGUCUACACCCCGAAGAGAGAACUAGCCAAACCUACUAAAAGAGAAACUUACCAAUUUAGAAAGAAAUCUUCCAUGAUAAAGGGCCCCUAAAAGUCCAAUUCAGUCAGGUUGUGAACAAAAACACCUUCAUGUCAAAACAGGAAUAGGUACCACCAAAAUGUAAAGGGAAAGAUGUAAACCAAGUCGAACUUUGGUAAACAAUGGUAAAGAUAGCAUGAUAGCUAAAAGCACUAAAGCUGUGCUUGGUAUGCAAAAAUGAAAAGUGGAAAUCAGCGUCUUAUUCUUUUUCUCCUUUAUUCACAUAUUAGGAUAACUAAUAUCUAAUGUUUUUUUUAUGUCUCAAAUUCUAUUCCAUGUUAUGGUAAACUUUCAUCUUGUUUAAGUGGAAGAGUAGGAUCACUUUUGUCUGGUUUGGGCUCAAGACGAUAAGCCUAUAGAGACUUCAUAUUGGGUUGAAUUGAUGCCCUUGAUCCGAUCAGUUCGUUAGAAAAAUCUGAAUUAUUAUAAGCAUUUAGAUAAAAUAAAUAAAUAAAUGUGAAACAGAGACUAUUCUCUGCACAACCUUGACCCUAGUUACUCAGUUUCACUGCUCACGGGACUAACCUCUCCAUUCAGUCGAAAUGAAUUGUAAUUUCUUUACUGGUAGCAGUAGUACUUUUCAUAGCAAAGAUAAUAGUAAAUAUGAAAUAUAAAUAUAUAGAAGGAAAUCUGGAUUGUAGAUAGCACCAUAAGUAACACUCAAUAUUUACUACAUAAUAAAAGAGAUAGUGUUACAAAGGUAGAGAAACCUACAAUGAGUACUCAUCACCAUUCUCAAACAGAAACAUAGCAGUGACUUAUACAUAGAACCUAUAGGCUCGCAGGGAAAGAGUAACAUGAUAAGUGCACAGCGGGUAGCAGCUCUUAUUUUACGUAUUACUCAAAAUCUCAAACUAACCAAAGUCACUCAGUUGGGAUGGGUAGGAGAUGGUGGUUUGUGGGGUGGCUUCUGGGUAGGAGCUGGUGGCUUCUUUGUUGGAGUUGAAGGAGGCGUAAUCUUCUGAGGUGGCUUGUAUGAGUCUUUGGCACUCUCUGCAGGAGGGUGCCCAGGGUUGUGACCGGAAGGAGGUGGCUUCUGUCCCUUUGGUGGUUUGCCUAAUGGGCUUGGUGGCUUGUGCUCCGGGAGUUGUUUCUCUCCCUCGAGUAGGUUUCGAGUUUUGUCAGAUGGCUUGUGUUCUGGUGGUGGCUUCUCUCCCUGGGGUGGUUUGCCGAAUGGGCUUGGUGGCUUGUGUUCGGGGAGUGGCUUCUCUCCCUUGGCAGGUUCAGUUGGUGGCUGGUGCUCCGUAGGUGGUUUCUUCACCGCCGGCUUCUCUCCCUGGAGAAGGUUACGAGUUUUGUCAGAUGGCUUCUGUUCUGGUGGCGGCUUCUCUCCCUGGGGUGGUUUGCCAAAUGGGCUUGGUGGCUUGUGUUCGGGAACUGGCUUCUCUCCCUUGGCAGGUUCAGUUAGUGGCUGGUGUUCCGUAGGUGGUUUCUUCACCGGCGGCUUGUGCUCCGGAAGCGGCUUCUCUACCUGGAGAAGCUUACGAGUUUUGUCAGAUGGCUUGUGUUGUGGUGGUGGCUUCUCUCCCUGGGGUGGUUUGCCAAAUGGACUUGGUGGCUUGUGUUCGGGGAGUGGCUUCUCUCCAUUGGGAGGUUUAGUUGGUGGUUGGUGUUCCGUAGGUGGUUUCUGAAGUGGGGGAUGCUUGGGGUAGUCAGCAAGAGACGAGGUAGUGAGAACCACCAGUCCCAGCAGCAAUACUAGCAAGGAUGUGGAAGACAUCUUUGAGUUCAGGCUGAGAUUUGUGCAAGGCUAGAAGAAUUAGGUGGCCUUUUAUAGCGGGCUGGACCCAACAACCAAAUGACACGUAUCAUGAUACACAUAUGUGUUAUAAGAUCCUUGUGGGUCCUACAGAAGUUGAAAACUUUGACAAUUGAGGUGUGAUUACAACUUUUGUCCCUAUUGCUUUCUCGUCAGCCGUUUUGCAAGAUUUUUGACAGGAGGACGGUAGUUUAAAAUAAUAAUUUCUAAAGUACUUUUGUGAAAAAAAAUAAUUCCAAACGUGGAUUUUAUCAAGUAAAAAAAACAAAAAAAAGUUAUUUUCUUUUAAAAUCUUUUCUUCAUGAUUCAUAUACCAAAAAAAGAAUUGUUUUCUGUAGGUAAAAUUUUUAAAAUUCAUUUUUAAAAAAAAAAAAUUACACACUAAAAUUAUCUCUUCAAGAAAAUAUUUUUUAAAUUUUAAAUAAUUAUUAAUUUAUAAUUAAUUUUUUAUUAAUUAUUUAUUAAAUUUAUAUGUGAAAAAUGCAUUUAUAAAAAACAAAUUUUUUAUUAAUUUAUUAAAUAAUUAUUUACAAAAUAAAUAAUUUUGCUUUAUUUUAAUUUUAAAAUUAAUUUUAUUAUAUAAAUUUUAAAAUUAAAAAUAUUAAUAUUUAAUUUAAAAUUUAACUAUAAAAGGAAUAAAAUAUAGAAAAAUAAAUUAAUUUAUUAUUCAAUAAAUUAAUUUUCAAUAAAAUUUUCAGCAUUAAGAGAUAAAUUUUUAAGUAUUAAUCAAUUUAAAAAAUAAUAAUAAUCAUUUGUAUACUAAGAUAUUUUAUUUAGUAAUUAUGAAUGAUAAACAACUAAAGUAAUUUGAAAAAAUAAUAAAAUAUUUAAAAAUAAUAAUUUAAUACACUUAAAAUUAGAAAUGAUUAACUAUUUUUUAUUAAGAAAAAAUUGAAGAAAUAUUUUGUUAUUUAAAAUUUUUUAUUUGUUUUCAAUUUUAAAUGUUAUAGGUUUCAAGAAAAUUGAUCAAAUAAAAAUUAAGAAGUCAUUUUUUCAAAAACUAUAUAUCUAAAUAAAAGCCUUGAAAUUCAAAUACACAAUAUCAUAAAUAUAAACACCAAGUCAAUCCUUAAUUAUCAAAUGUUUUUAAUAUUAAAGAAUCAAAAUCACCUACUAUCAUGAUAAUAAGAAAACCAAUAAUAUUGUUCAUAUAAAUACUAAAAAGCUAACAAAUAUCCCAAACAAUUAAUAAAGUAUCAAACAUGAUAAAAAGUCAAUUAUUAUCAUGAAUGCAAAAAAUCAAUAAUUUUGUUUAUAUGAACCAUCAACAAAGAAAAAAAAAAUCAAUAUCUAAAUAUUAAACAUAAUUUAUAUUUUUAUAAAUAUUAUUGUUGAUAAAUAUCUUAAUAAUUAUAAUUUUUUAUAUAUUAAAUUUAGUAAAUAAAAUUAAUUAAUUUUAUAAUAUAAGAUAUAUAUAAUAAUUAAGAGACUAUUUGUCCCAAACAAUUUAUUUAUUUUUUUUUUAGGAAAUUGUCUCUUCAAGAGACGACUUCUCCCAACAUUUUUAAAAAAAAAAAAAAAAACAUCUAUUCAAAAGACGAUUUCUCCUCAUUUUUUAAAAAUGAAUUUUAGAAAUCAUAUUUUCAAAAAUGAAUUUUAGAAAUCAUAUUUUCAAAAGACGAUUUUUUUUUAUAUAAAUUAUUUUUUAAAAUGACGAUUUUAAAAGGAAAUAACGAUCUCUCUCCUACUUGGCAAAAACUAUGGUAAAUUUGGAAUUAUUUCUUCCACAACCAUAGUUUAAGAAUUAUUUUUUUAUACUUUCGUAGACUUAUCAAAAAUCCCUAUUUUGCAUGUCUCAUUUGGCAUGACUUUCUUACCUAAACAAGCAUAUAUAUAUAUAUAUAUAUAUAUAUCACUUUUGUCUGGGUUGAGUCAAUGCCCUUAACUAAUUUGUUCAUUUGAAUAGUCUAAAUUAUUAUAAGCUUUUAGUUAAGAAAAAUGUGAAACAUAAAUUACACCUCUCGGCACAACUUCGACACUGGUUACUCUGUUUCAGUUUAUUCACACAAGAUUAUUGGUUCUAGGGUUUAUUUGGUUUUGGUUUGAUUCUAAUUGCUAAACUUUCUCAAGGAAGAUGUUAUAUAGGGAGUGAGAAACCUUCACUCCUGGCUACCUCCAAGAGAAGAGCAAGUGGUCUGAAUCAAAGAUAUACUGCUCACUUUUUCUUCUUCUAAGGACAGCUAUGACCUUGCUUUAAAAUGUUCGAAUAGCCUAAUGCAACCUCCCAUUUCUCAAGUCAGCUGAUGAUGUAAGUCACCUUGGCUUUCCACAUUCAUACGGUGAGGACGUUUGUGGGUGUAAUUCUCUUAACAGUUUUCAUUUUAUAUGGAAAAAUUCAUAAUUAAGGGUAAUUACUGAUUCCAUUUGACAGUGACCAAGUUUAAAAUAUUAACUCAUGUAUUAAAUGCACAUUAAAAAAUCAUGGAAUAAAUAUAUUUACUAAUAUAUAGUUCUUUUGUCAUGUUCUGUCACAGAAGCAUCGAACUUUCCCUAGAAAUUUUUGCAUGGUAUUCUGCUUAUGAUUUUGAAAACUCUAGGCACCUAAGGCCACUGAUUGCAUGGUUGGAUGAGGAGCUGCAUGAGAUUAUGUAUCCUGUUGCUCCUUAACUACAAAUAUCAGUUUUAAGUAGCAUCUCCAUGUGACAUUUUCCUGAUGCAAUUUCGCUGUCCACCAACAAAUGUCUCCAUGCAGCUAGAUGAAUUGUAAUUUCUUUGUUGUUAUCAACAGCUUUAAUUAAUCUUGAUAUAUAUAUAACUUAGUAGAAGUAAUUAAUCUAGAUUGUAGUUGCACUAAGAUAAUAGGCAAUAUUAUAACAGUGCCACAAUGCUCAUCGCCAAAUAGAAAGGUAGAAAAACUACAAUGAGUAACUCACACAACAUUCUCAAACAGGACAUAGCGGCGACUGAUACAUAGAACACUAUUGGCACUCAGGAAAUGAUAAGAUCAGUGCCCAGCAGGCAGCACGUCUUAUUUUACAUACUACUUAAAACUAACCAAAGUCAUUCAGUUGGGAUGGGUGGGAGAUGGUGGUUUGUGCGGUGGCUUCUUUCCUGGAACUGGUGGUUUUUUUGUUGGAGUUGAAGGAGGCUUAAUCGUCUGAGGUGGCUUGUAUGAGUCUUCAGCACUCUCUGCAAGAGGGUGCCCAGGGUUGUGACCAUAAUGAGGUGGCUUCUCUCCCUUAGGUGGUUUGCCAAGUGGGCUGGCUGGCUUGUGCUCCGGGAGCGGCUUCUCUCCCUUAGGUGGUUUGCCAAAUGGGCUUGCUGGCUUGUGCUCUGGGAGCGGCUUCUCUCCCCCAAGAAGUUUGCGGGUUUUGUCAGAUGGCUUGUGUUCUGGUGGUGGCUUCUCUCCUUGGG